GUCUUUUUGAAUUAAAUUUAAAGUCUAACCUGCCCACUGAAAUUUUUUAAAUGGCCGCAGUAUCCUAACUGUGCAAAGGUAGCAUAAUCAUUAGUCUUUUAAUUGAAGGCUGGAAUGAAUGGUUGGACGAAAUAUUAACUGUUUCAUUUAAAUUUUUUAUAAAAUUUUAUUUUUUAGUCAAAAAGCUAAAAUAAAUUUAAAAGACGAGAAGACCCUAUAAAUCUUUAUAUUUUGUUUAUUUUAAUUAUAAAGAUUAUUUUUAUUAUAAUAAAUUAAAAUAUUUUAUUGGGGUGAUAUUAAAAUUUAAAAAACUUUUAAUUUUUAAAACCAUUAAUUUAUGAAUAAUUGAUCCAUUAAUAAUGAUUAAAAAUUUAAGUUACUUUAGGGAUAACAGCGUAAUUUUUUUGGAGAGUUCAUAUCGAUAAAAAAGAUUGCGACCUCGAUGUUGGAUUAAGAUAUAAUUUUGGGUGUAGCCGUUCAAAUUUUAAGUCUGUUCGACUUUUAAAUUCUU
Molecule: ribosomal RNA, 511 nt
Filed under: Drosophila flavibasis
Lineage: Eukaryota; Metazoa; Arthropoda; Insecta; Diptera; Drosophilidae
Description: partial 16S ribosomal RNA
Rfam family: Bacterial large subunit ribosomal RNA (bases 387-511)
Source: RNAcentral